AAGAAGAACCAACUGGAUAGAAACUAACUUGAUAGGUUUUAUUUUUUCCCUGGGUUUCCAGCUGGGUUUAAUAAGAGACCAGACCAACAACCAAAGGUCAUUCCCAAUGCCCCAACCAAAAUGGAAGCACAUCUUUCCCUAGUGCUUUGUUUUACAAAUAGAAAAGAAAGAUGUAUUUGAGGCUGGGAGCACUCUAAAUCAGGGAUUGCAGAUAGUUUUGUCCCAAUGCCAAUUCCAGUUGGUGAGUGGAAGCUACUAGAAGUUCUAUGUUGAAAAUUCAUAUUAAGGCAUAGGAAGUUCUAAUAAAAUCAGUAAAUCACAAGAAUUUUCCAGCUGAUGGAAGUAGAUCUUAAUGAAGUGGUGCCUUCAACCUAAUUCACACCAAGAUAAAAUAUACUUGAGCAGUGAUGGAUUUCCACCAUUAUGUUAAACUCACAGGCUUUAAUUCAACUGAGCAAAUAUUGAUGGAAAGUCAAGACCAGCAGAAUGGCCCUUCAAGGUUUCUUCUAAUUUCAGGAUUCCACAAAGCCUGUGGAAAUGCUACAUGUCAUGGAGGACGGAGGAAGGGAUGUGUGCAGUGGCGGCGGAGGGGAUGUAUAUUUUGUUUGUUUGCUGAAUUUUAAUAAGGCCAUCUUGGUUUCUGCAUGAAAAUGAAAUGUGAGUUCAAUUCACUGAUAUAUAUUCUCCAAUGAAAAUCCAGAGCCUGACCCAGAAUCACUGCUCUGGCUCCUUCAGAUUUGAGUCAUUA
This 748-nucleotide long non-coding RNA is filed under the name Vulpes vulpes (red fox). Its description in RNAcentral is "lncRNA (ENSVVUG00000012051.1)". Lineage: Eukaryota; Metazoa; Chordata; Mammalia; Carnivora; Canidae. The record is from RNAcentral.